AUUGAACGCUGGCGGCAGGCUUAACACAUGCAAGUCGAGCGGGGUGAUGGUGCUUGCACUAUCACUUAGCGGCGGACGGGUGAGUAAUGCUUAAGAAUCUGCCUAUUAGUGGGGGACAACAUCUCGAAAGGGAUGCUAAUACCGCAUGCGUCCUACGGGAGAAAGCAGGGGAUCACUUGUGACCUUGCGCUAAUAGAUGAGCCUAGGUCGGAUUAGCUAGUUGGUGGGGUAAAGGCCUACCAAGGCGACGAUCUGUAGCGGGUCUGAGAGGAUGAUCCGCCACACUGGGACUGAGACACGGCCCAGACUCCUACGGGAGGCAGCAGUGGGGAAUAUUGGACAAUGGGGGGAACCCUGAUCCAGCCAUGCCGCGUGUGUGAAGAAGGCCUUAUGGUUGUAAAGCACUUUAAGCGAGGAGGAGGCUCUUUUGGUUAAUACCCAAGAUGAGUGGACGUUACUCGCAGAAUAAGCACCGGCUAACUCUGUGCCAGCAGCCGCAGUAA
Molecule: ribosomal RNA, 503 nt
Filed under: uncultured bacterium
Lineage: Bacteria
Description: partial 16S ribosomal RNA
Rfam family: Bacterial small subunit ribosomal RNA
Source: RNAcentral